Molecule: ribosomal RNA, 253 nt
Filed under: uncultured bacterium
Lineage: Bacteria
Description: partial 16S ribosomal RNA
Rfam family: Bacterial small subunit ribosomal RNA
Source: RNAcentral
GACGGAAAGCGCAAGCGUUGUUCGGAAUUACUGGGCGUAAAGCGCGUGUAGGUGGCUUGGACAGUCGGGUGUGGAAUCCCGGAGCUCAACUCCGGAACUGCAUCCGAUACUGCCAAGCUCGAGUCUCGGAGAGGAUGGCGGAAUUUCCGGUGUAGAGGUGAAAUUCGUAGAUAUCGGAAGGAACACAAGUGGCGAAGGCGGCCGUCUGGACGAUGACUGACACUGAGACGCGAAAGCGUGGGGAGCAAACUGG